This 380-nucleotide ribosomal RNA is filed under the name uncultured Sphingobacteriales bacterium. Its description in RNAcentral is "bacterial SSU rRNA". It matches the Rfam family "Bacterial small subunit ribosomal RNA", at positions 1001 to 1382 of the family's 1533-position model. The record is from RNAcentral. Lineage: Bacteria; Pseudomonadati; Bacteroidota; Sphingobacteriia; Sphingobacteriales.
CACGAGAUGCCUUCUUCCCUUCGGGACCUCACACAGGUGCUGCGAUGGCUGUCGUCAGCUCGUGCCGUGAGGUGUCGGGUUAAGUCCCAUAACGAGCGCAACCCCUACCUUAGUUGCCAUCAGGUUAAGCUGGGGACUCUAAAGGAACUGCCUACGCAAGUAGUGAGGAAGCGGGGAUGACGUCAAAUCAGCACGGCCCUUACGUCCAGGGCUACACACGUGCUACAAUGGCCGGUACAAAGGGCAGCUACCUGGUGACAGGAUGCUAAUCUCAAAAGCCGGUCUCAGUUCGGAUCGGAGUCUGCAACCCGACUCCAUGAAGCUGGAAUCGCUAGUAAUCGCGCAUCGGCCAUGGCGCGGUGAAUACGUUCCCGGGCCUU